GGCAUUCGACUGGGCCGACGCCGAGCCUAUUGGGCCUCCAUUAGGGUUAGAGUUAGAGAUAGAAUUAGAUAUCUUACUUAGCAGUCAAGUAAACCUCUCCAUAUAUAGAGAGGAGAUGUAUCCAUUAAAGGGAAUCAAGUAAGAAUUAUCAGGAGAGAUCCUCAUCUACCUCCAGGCCUUGAGAUCGGACGCAGCUGUCAUGGGCGCUCGACUGGGCCGACACCGAGCCUAUUGGGCCUCCAUUAGGGUUAAGAGUUAGAGAUAGAAUUAGAUAUCUUAGCAGUCAAGUAAGCCUCUCCAUAUAUAUAGAGGAGAUGUAUCCAUUAAAGGGAAUCAAGUAAGAAUUAUCAGGAGAGAUCCUCAUCUACCUCCGGGCCUUGAGAUUGGGCGCAGCUGUCUUCGGCGUCCCCGAUCUCAAGUGUCCGGUUCAGCGUCCGUUUACC
RNAcentral lists this long non-coding RNA (443 nucleotides) under Setaria italica (foxtail millet). RNAcentral describes it as "long non-coding RNA (SITA_LNC002962)". Lineage: Eukaryota; Viridiplantae; Streptophyta; Magnoliopsida; Poales; Poaceae. The record is from RNAcentral.